Rhipicephalus sanguineus (brown dog tick) is the source of this 1036-nucleotide long non-coding RNA. RefSeq lists it as uncharacterized. The record is from RefSeq and is a predicted model, not a curated record. NCBI's taxonomy places the organism in Eukaryota, Metazoa, Arthropoda, Arachnida, Ixodida, Ixodidae. The transcript is spliced from 2 exons.
UUGUGCUAAAAAUGGGUGGUUGUCUGUUUUCCUUUUCUUGAAUCCACUCCCGCCACCUUGCAGGAUUCCGCAAAACUCAUUUCCAUUACUUUGGUUUAAUUUUUCUAUGUAAUACUGUGUUUUAUUUGUAUUACACAAUUCAGUGAAUGGAAAGCUCAGGAAGAGGCCAACGCGAACUGUUGGUUUGUACGUCGCACGGCUCCCAAAAAGCUAGCCAGUGGGCAAACAAGGACCCACUACUACUGUAAUAGAUCAGGAGUGGCUAGACCAAAAGAAGGUCAUGGUAAACAUCGAGAGAAAAAUCGGGGGACCUGCAAGUCCGGUACCAAAGAAAGCACUACGGCCAUCAAGCAGAAAUUCAGCACUUGAGGAUGACUGACGAAGAAAAGGCCAACAUAGCGGAGCGCCUGGAGCGCGGUGUGCCCAUGAAAACCGUAUUGAAAAAUAUAAGAACAUCUGUUGCUAGCAAGCUAAGGCCAGCACAUUUGGAAGAGCGCGUAACUCUGCCUAACAUCAAACGGCAGUUUCACAUUGCUGCUCCUGAACAGUGUCACACCAAUGAUGCUGUCAGUGCCGAUAUGUGGGCGAAAGCAAUGUAAGACAAAGGUGAAACACUUGUCCGUCUGUAUAAGGCACAGGGUGCAGUGGACCCAACUGGUACUUUUGGUGCCACAGAUUUUGCCCUGGUUUUGAUGACAGAGCCACAAAAAGAGCUGUUAGAAGAAUUGGGCACGGGCACUGUGUGUCUUGACUCAACACAUGGAACUACAGGGUACCAGUUUGAGCUGACCACUCUUCUAGUGCUAGAUGAAGUGGGAUCAGGUAUACCUAUAGCCUAUUUCAUCUGCAACAGGAUGAAUGAGGAAAACUUGGCAGCUUUUUUCAGGUCUCUUGAGUGUGCCAUCAACAAAGAAGUGGCUGCUAAGACAUUUAUGUCUGAUGACGCCUCACAAUUUUACAAGGCAUCGUCGUCAGUAAUGGAUGUCCUUCAGCAGAAACUUCUCUGCGCCUGGCAUGUGGAUAGGAAUUGGCAGAA